Molecule: ribosomal RNA, 400 nt
Filed under: uncultured bacterium
Lineage: Bacteria
Description: bacterial SSU rRNA
Rfam family: Bacterial small subunit ribosomal RNA
Source: RNAcentral
GGGGAAUAUUGGACAAUGGGCGCAAGCCUGAUCCAGCCAUGCCGCGUGAGUGAAGAAGGUCUUAGGAUUGUAAAGCUCUUUCACCGAUGAAGAUAAUGACUGUAGUCGGAGAAGAAGCCCCGGCUAACUUCGUGCCAGCAGCCGCGGUAAUACGAAGGGGGCUAGCGUUGUUCGGAAUUACUGGGCGUAAAGCGCACGUAGGCGGAUAUUUAAGUCAGGGGUGAAAUCCCGCAGCUCAACUGCGGAACUGCCUUUGAUACUGGGUAUCUUGAGUAUGGAAGAGGUAAGUGGAAUUGCGAGUGUAGAGGUGAAAUUCGUAGAUAUUCGCAGGAACACCAGUGGCGAAGGCGGCUUACUGGUCCAUUACUGACGCUGAGGUGCGAAAGCGUGGGGAGCAAAC